UAGGGAAUCUUGCGCAAUGGGCGAAAGCCUGACGCAGCCAUGCCGCGUGAAUGAUGAAGGUCUUAGGAUUGUAAAAUUCUUUCACCGGGGAAGAUAAUGACGGUACCCGGAGAAGAAGCCCCGGCUAACUUCGUGCCAGCAGCCGCGGUAAUACGAAGGGGGCUAGCGUUGCUCGGAAUUACUGGGCGUAAAGGGCGCGUAGGCGGAUGUUUAAGUCGGGGGUGAAAGCCCGGGGCUCAACCUCGGAAUUGCCUUCGAUACUGGACAUCUUGAGUACGGGAGAGGUGAGUGGAACUCCGAGUGUAGAGGUGAAAUUCGUAGAUAUUCGGAAGAACACCAGUGGCGAAGGCGACUCACUGGCCCGUUACUGACGCUGAGGCGCGAAAGCGUGGGGAGCAAAACAGGAUUAGAUACCCUGGUAGUCCACGCCGUAAAACGAUGAGUGCUAGUUGUCGGCAUGCAUGCAUGUCGGUGACGCAGCUAACGCAUUAAGCACUCCGCCUGGGGAGUACGUCGCAAGAUUAAAACUCAAAUGAAUGAC
RNAcentral lists this ribosomal RNA (541 nucleotides) under uncultured bacterium. RNAcentral's name for it is "partial 16S ribosomal RNA". It matches the Rfam family "Bacterial small subunit ribosomal RNA", at positions 355 to 914 of the family's 1533-position model. The record is from RNAcentral.